UACGGAGGGGGCUAGCGUUGUUCGGAAUUACUGGGCGUAAAGGGCGUGUAGGCGGCGCGGUAAGUCAGGCGUGAAAGCCCCGGGCUCAACCUGGGAAAUGCGCUUGUUACUGCCGUGCUUGAGUCCGGGAGAGGAUAGCGGAAUUCCCAGUGUAGAGGUGAAAUUCGUAGAUAUUGGGAAGAACACCAGUGGCGAAGGCGACUAUCUGGACCGGUACUGACGCUGAGGCGCGAAAGCGUGGGGAGCAAACAGG
This 253-nucleotide ribosomal RNA is filed under the name uncultured bacterium. RNAcentral's name for it is "partial 16S ribosomal RNA". It matches the Rfam family "Bacterial small subunit ribosomal RNA", at positions 524 to 776 of the family's 1533-position model. The record is from RNAcentral.